Molecule: ribosomal RNA, 465 nt
Filed under: Vreelandella stevensii
Lineage: Bacteria; Pseudomonadati; Pseudomonadota; Gammaproteobacteria; Oceanospirillales; Halomonadaceae
Description: partial 16S ribosomal RNA
Rfam family: Bacterial small subunit ribosomal RNA
Source: RNAcentral
CCUACGGGUGGCUGCAGUGGGGAAUAUUGGACAAUGGGCGAAAGCCUGAUCCAGCCAUGCCGCGUGUGUGAAGAAGGCCUUCGGGUUGUAAAGCACUUUCAGUGGGGAAGAAAGCCUUGGGGCUAAUACCCUCGAGGAAGGACAUCACCCACAGAAGAAGCACCGGCUAACUCCGUGCCAGCAGCCGCGGUAAUACGGAGGGUGCGAGCGUUAAUCGGAAUUACUGGGCGUAAAGCGCGCGUAGGCGGUCUGAUAAGCCGGUUGUGAAAGCCCCGGGCUCAACCUGGGAACGGCAUCCGGAACUGUCAGGCUAGAGUGCAGGAGAGGAAGGUAGAAUUCCCGGUGUAGCAGUGAAAUGCGUAGAGAUCGGGAGGAAUACCAGUGGCGAAGGCGGCCUUCUGGACUGACACUGACGCUGAGGUGCGAAAGCGUGGGUAGCAAACAGGAUUAGAUACCCCAGUAGUC